RNAcentral lists this ribosomal RNA (336 nucleotides) under uncultured bacterium. Its description in RNAcentral is "bacterial SSU rRNA". It matches the Rfam family "Bacterial small subunit ribosomal RNA", at positions 28 to 334 of the family's 1533-position model. The record is from RNAcentral.
GAUGAACGCCGGCGGUGUGCCUAAUACAUGCAAGUCGUACGCACUGGCCCAACUGAUUGAUGGUGCUUGCACCUGAUUGACGAUGGAUCACCAGUGAGUGGCGGACGGGUGAGUAACGCGUGGGUAACCUGCCUCAUACAGGGGGAUAACAGUUAGAAAUGACUGCUAAUACCGCAUAAGACCACAGCACCGCAUGGUGCAGGGGUAAAAACUCCGGUGGUAUGAGAUGGACCCGCGUCUGAUUAGCUAGUUGGUAAGGUAACGGCUUACCAAGGCGACGAUCAGUAGCCGACCUGAGAGGGUGACCGGCCACAUUGGGACUGAGACACGGCCCAA